Molecule: ribosomal RNA, 904 nt
Filed under: uncultured bacterium
Lineage: Bacteria
Description: bacterial SSU rRNA
Rfam family: Bacterial small subunit ribosomal RNA
Source: RNAcentral
ACGCUGGCGGCGUGCCUAAUACAUGCAAGUAGAACGCUGAAGGAGGAGCUUGCUUCUCCGGAUGAGUUGCGAACGGGUGAGUAACGCGUAGGUAACCUGCCUGGUAGCGGGGGAUAACUAUUGGAAACGAUAGCUAAUACCGCAUAAGAGUAGAUGUUGCAUGACAUUUGCUUAAAAGGUGCAAUUGCAUCACUACCAGAUGGACCUGCGUUGUAUUAGCUAGUUGGUGGGGUAACGGCUCACCAAGGCGACGAUACAUAGCCGACCUGAGAGGGUGAUCGGCCACACUGGGAUUGAGACACGGCCCAGACUCUUACGGGAGGCAGCAGUAGGGAAUCUUCGGCAAUGGACGGAAGUCUGACCGAGCAACGCCGCGUGAGUGAAGAAGGUUUUCGGAUCGUAAAGCUCUGUUGUAAGAGAAGAACGAGUGUGAGAGUGGAAAGUUCACACUGUGACGGUAUCUUACCAGAAAGGGACGGCUAACUACGUGCCAGCAGCCGCGGUAAUACGUAGGUCCCGAGCGUUGUCCGGAUUUAUUGGGCGUAAAGCGAGCGCAGGCGGUUAGAUAAGUCUGAAGUUAAAGGCUGUGGCUUAACCAUAGUACGCUUUGGAAACUGUUUAACUUGAGUGCAAGAGGGGAGAGUGGAAUUCCAUGUGUAGCGGUGAAAUGCGUAGAUAUAUGGAGGAACACCGGUGGCGAAAGCGGCUCUCUGGCUUGUAACUGACGCUGAGGCUCGAAAGCGUGGGGAGCAAACAGGAUUAGAUACCCUGGUAGUCCACGCCGUAAACGAUGAGUGCUAGGUGUUAGACCCUUUCCGGGGUUUAGUGCCGCAGCUAACGCAUUAAGCACUUCCGCCUGGGGAGUACGACCGCAAGGUUGAAACUCAAAGGAAUUGACGGGGGC